CAUAGCUGGGUAGCUAAGUCGGGACGGGAUAAACGCUGAAAGCAUCUAAGCGUGAAGCCUCCUUCAAGAUGAGAUUUCCCAUAGCGUAAGCUAGUAAGACCCCUUGAAGACUACAAGGUUGAUAGGUUAGAGGUGUAAGUGUGGCAACAUAUUUAGCUGACUGAUACUAAUAGGUCGAGGGCUUGACCAAUAA
RNAcentral lists this ribosomal RNA (193 nucleotides) under Clostridium botulinum. RNAcentral describes it as "partial 23S ribosomal RNA". It matches the Rfam family "Bacterial large subunit ribosomal RNA", at positions 2736 to 2925 of the family's 2925-position model. RNAcentral also lists the same sequence under 1 other name. Lineage: Bacteria; Bacillati; Bacillota; Clostridia; Eubacteriales; Clostridiaceae. The record is from RNAcentral.